UUACAUUGCCCUUCCUUUCCAUGAAAGAAUUCGGUGCAUCCUGAGCAUAGAAUUGACCGCUAAAUUAAUUUGUAAUCAUUUUAAUUUUUCUGGUUAAUUAGUUGGACUAGGAACUGAUGCUCAUUCAGUUGACAUGCAUUUACGAUCACGAGACAUAUCAUAAGCAGCGUUUUUCACCUAUCUCUCCACCACAAAACCCAAAGGGUCGAGUUACGAGUUCUUGCACCUCACGCUACCCCGCUCUUUUGUUUUCGUUUUCUUCAUUCAGAUUUAUUUAAGAAGUGAGAAGGAUGCAAAAAACUUCCCCCACAACACAUUAAAGAUACAAGGUGGCGGGAUAUGCUGUCUGUGGCGGCACUCGUCAAGAACCAGAUAAAGGUCUAUAGUAUAUGCCCGAAAUAACGACAACGAUCGUGAGAUGAUUAAUUGAUUGAUUUAAGAGACAAGUUAGGGAAAUUCAAGCUCAAAAGAAAUAAAUCAUUGUUUGAGAGUAGCUGAUCUGAUUAUAUAGGUCACUGAUGACCGAGCUAUCAAGUUAGGACUUCCCAUUGUUCUCUCGAAGCUUUGUGAUUAUAGCAGAAAAAGAGAUAUUUGUGAUUAUAGCAGGAGUUAUAGUUG
Glycine soja is the source of this 618-nucleotide long non-coding RNA. RefSeq lists it as uncharacterized. The transcript has 4 exons. NCBI's taxonomy places the organism in Eukaryota, Viridiplantae, Streptophyta, Magnoliopsida, Fabales, Fabaceae. The record is from RefSeq and is a predicted model, not a curated record.